AUCAUGACCUGAGCCAAUACCGAUACCAAAAGUUGGAUGCUCAACCGACGGAACCACCCAGGAGCUACACUAAGCGCCAGAGACACAGUAUUGCACAGGACAAACAUGUUUUCUGCCCUGCGUUGGAGAAAAGCAAUGUAGGGGCAAUCACAGAGAACUUUUUGAGGACAUCACACAUUUAUUUUGGUUGACAGUGUGUCUCCCCAAAGCUUAUUUGUAAUAGAAGUCUAUCCAUAUGGAUUUUGAUCAGGUAAGUUUGAUUACUAAUUAAGCCUGGGGAAAGAAGGAUAAAAAAAUAGAAAAGAGAUCAACUAUUGGUGAUAUGAUUAAGCAAAUGAGAAAAAUCUGAAGAAUAGUUAUUAAAGUUAGAAAUUUUAGAAUAUGAAAAUGCGAUUCUGGUUUAGACUUAUGUUUUAUCUAGCCACAAUUCUAUUUUUUUAAAUUAUUUUUUUAUGUUUAUUUUUGAGAGAGAGAUAGAGCAUGAGUGGGGGAGGGUCAGAGAGUAAGGGAGAUGCAGAAUCUGAA
Molecule: long non-coding RNA, 525 nt
Organism: Felis catus (domestic cat)
Lineage: Eukaryota; Metazoa; Chordata; Mammalia; Carnivora; Felidae
Exons: 3
Source: RefSeq, a predicted model, not a curated record